This 407-nucleotide non-coding RNA is filed under the name Pan troglodytes (chimpanzee). The record is from RNAcentral. Lineage: Eukaryota; Metazoa; Chordata; Mammalia; Primates; Hominidae. RNAcentral also lists the same sequence under 2 other names.
GGGAGGGGGCGGGCGGGCCGGCGGGCGGGGGGAGCCGCCGCCGCCGCCGCCGCUCGAUUUCCGUAAUUUUGAGAAGAUUUUUUUUUAGUAAUUUUUUAUUCUGCCCCAGCUGAUGUUUGAGCCAGCAUGUCGCGGAGGAAGCAAGCGAAGCCUCAACAUUUCCAAUCCGACCCCGAAGUGGCCUCGCUCCCCCGGCGAGAUGCCUUCGUAGAUGACCACACACCAUUUGUACAACAGAAGUUGGUGUUCCCCAUGCUGGGCAAACAAUGGGAAGCCAUCCUGUCUUUGAAUAGGAUGUUAGCUUGGAGUUAGAGAUUUUUCUGUUUAAUUUACAAAUGGAUCUUAGUGAGAAGACAUCUGAGCAACCAAUGGAAACAAACAUGAAAUAAAGGGAUUUUUAUAAUAAA